GGUCAAAGAAGCCAAAAGAUUUAAAUAAGGUCUUGUGUGUGGGUAUGUGUAUGUGCAUGUAUUUAUUGAAGAAAAUAAGUUUCAAUUUGAGAAUUAGAAAAUUGGAUAUUUCAUUUUAAUUAUUUAUUUAAAGAGUAGAGUGUUCUUCCAUUAUUGAAUCUUCUUUUAUCCCACCAAAUGGCUUAACCUAAUUUGCGCUGCCUAUUUUGGUUAAGAAACAGGGAAACACCCUAAAAUCUGUGAUAAUUUUCAAAAUACAAUUUUAAGAAGCUUUGCGCUUACAUAAAUCACAAGAAAUACAGCUGGAAAUCAUUUCACUUUUCUUGCUGUAAAUUUUUUUAGUGGGUUUGUGACAGUAUAAAUUUUCUUGCUAGAUGCUAAUGAUACAUUGUAUUAUCUGUAUUAGGAAUUAAAUAUUUAAUAGGAAUAGUGAAUAAAUUGAUCUGCUCUCAUGCUGUUAUCUAAGAUCUUAUGCUACCAUUACAUUCCUUUCUGUAGUCGUAUCUCAUAUUUGAAAGGUCUCAUGUUGUAAAUAUUUGACUUGCUGUAAAAUUAUACAAGAUAAAAAAUG
Molecule: long non-coding RNA, 571 nt
Filed under: Homo sapiens (human)
Lineage: Eukaryota; Metazoa; Chordata; Mammalia; Primates; Hominidae
Description: non-protein coding lnc-ALDH2-1:2
Source: RNAcentral